AUCUAAAUAAUUUAAUUAAAAUAUCAGUUUGUGGUUCUGAAAAUGUAUGUGUAUACUUUGGGUU
Molecule: transfer RNA, 64 nt
Filed under: Micadina brachyptera
Lineage: Eukaryota; Metazoa; Arthropoda; Insecta; Phasmatodea; Lonchodidae
Description: tRNA-His
Source: RNAcentral